AAUCAAAAUAAACAUUUGUAUUUAAACUAACAACACGGUACAAUAUUACAUGUAAGAAGCAUCCAUCCAAACAAGCUGUUAACUCUUACCAAUCCCAAGAAAAAGACAUUACAACUUUUCAGAAUUAGUUACUGACAGGAAGGACUUUCUUGACAAUCUCAUCACUAAGGGCAGCAAUCUGAGAAUCAAGACUCUUGAUUGUCUCCUCCUUUUGACUCUCUAAGCUAGCCAAAGCUUCUUGCAAUUCAGCCUCAACUUUCUUCCUUCCUUCUGCAAUCUUCUGCUCUACUUCUUGCUGAGUCUCUUUCUUCAUCUUGUUCAAUGCUGCUGAUAUCUCAGCCCUUGCAGCCUUCAUAAUUGCAGCAGCCUGGUCUUCCAGUUGCUUCACUUCAGCAGAGGUGUCCUUCACACUGCUCAAUUUCUCCUUAAUGGCAGAAUCUCUUUCAUCCAUGAAUUUCCCUAAUGGGCUGAAGUAAAUCUUGUCUAAAGCAAACAUGAGAAAGAGGAAUUCAGCCAUCAUGAUUGGGAGUGUCAAGUUGAAGUCAAAAAGGGAAGCUUUUUCAAUUUCCUCUGCUAGCGAAGGUGGUGCCAUGGCCAAUGAGCUUGCAAGAAUGACAGAAAUGGACUUGAGAGUUGAUGGGAUUGAAAGGGUUUCAAGGGAUUUGGGUGAUUUGGGGAGGGGUAGUUUUGGAAAAGGGAUUUGGGUGAGGGAAAGUUUGAAUCUUGGUGAUGGAGGGAUGGUGGAGGAUGAAGAAGUGAUUAAAACUUUGGAGGAGCUCAUCAUCAUGUU
Molecule: unclassified non-coding RNA, 790 nt
Filed under: Hevea brasiliensis (rubber tree)
Lineage: Eukaryota; Viridiplantae; Streptophyta; Magnoliopsida; Malpighiales; Euphorbiaceae
Source: RNAcentral